Molecule: ribosomal RNA, 480 nt
Filed under: uncultured bacterium
Lineage: Bacteria
Description: bacterial SSU rRNA
Rfam family: Bacterial small subunit ribosomal RNA
Source: RNAcentral
GAUCAUGGCUCAGGACGAACGCUGGCGGCGUGCUUAACACAUGCAAGUCGAACGGGAGUAUUGAAGAAGCUUGCUUAGAGAUACUUAGUGGCGGACGGGUGAGUAACGCGUGAGGAGCUGUCCUAUGCAGGGGGACAACAGCUGGAAACGGCUGCUAAUACCCCAUAAGCCGAGAGGUAAAAGGAUCAAUCCGGCAGAGGAGGUACUCGCGUCCUAUCAGCUAGUAGGUGAGGUAACGGCUCACCUAGGCGAAGACGGGUAGCCGGCCUGAGAGGGCGAACGGCCACACUGGAACUGAGAUACGGUCCAGACUCCUACGGGAGGCAGCAGUGGGGAAUAUUGGGCAAUGGGGGAAACCCUGAACCCCAGCGACGCCGCGUGGGUGAAGAAAUCCUUCGGGAUGUAAAGCCCUGUUGUAUGGGAAGAGCGGAAGACGGUACCAUACGAGGAAGCCCCGGCAAACUACGUGCCAGCAGCAGC